GUUGCACAUUGUUAGAGCUUGGGGUAAGGCCCCUGGCGGGCCUGCCGACCCCCAAGUGUAGGUAGUGUGCUACAUGAGGGGGAGGCUUCCGCGGACACUCCACUCUGGCCCAGUGGGUGGAGCUUGACAGUAACCCUUGCUACAAGU
Small nucleolar RNA from Octodon degus (degu), 147 nucleotides. NCBI's taxonomy places the organism in Eukaryota, Metazoa, Chordata, Mammalia, Rodentia, Octodontidae. The record is from Ensembl.